UCCCAGACUCCUACGGGAGGCAGCAGUGGGGAAUAUUGCACAAUGGGGGAAACCCUGAUGCAGCGACGCCGCGUGGGCGACGAAGCGCUCCGGCGCGUAAAGCCCUGUCAGCAGGGAAGAACAAAGACAGUACCUGACCAAGAAGCCCCGGCUAACUACGUGCCAGCAGCCGCGGUAAUACGUAGGGAGCGAGCGUUGUCCGGAAUUACUGGGUGUAAAGGGUGUGUAGCCGGGCUGACAAGUCAGAUGUGAAAUUCCGGGGCUCAACCCCGGGCCUGCAUUUGAAACUGUUGGUCUUGAGUAUCGGAGAGGCAGGCGGAAUUCCUAGUGUAGCGGUGAAAUGCGUAGAUAUUAGGAGGAACACCAGUGGCGAAGGCGGCCUGCUGGACGACAACUGGCGGUGAGGCGCGAAAGCGUGGGGAGCAAACAGGAUUAGAUACCCCCGUAAAU
This 450-nucleotide ribosomal RNA is filed under the name uncultured bacterium. RNAcentral describes it as "partial 16S ribosomal RNA". It matches the Rfam family "Bacterial small subunit ribosomal RNA", at positions 329 to 794 of the family's 1533-position model. The record is from RNAcentral.